UACGGAGGGUGCAAGCAUUAAUCGGAUUUAUUGGGCGUAAAGGGCGCGUAGGCGGAUUUAUAAGUCAGAUGUGAAAUUUCUGGGCUCAACCUGGAAGCGGCAUUUGAAACUGUAGAUCUAGAGGAUAGGCGGAGAAAACAGAAUUCCACAAGUAGCGGUGAAAUGCGUAGAUAUGUGGAAGAAUACCGGUGGCGAAGGCGGUUUUCUAGCUUAGACCUGACGCUGAAGCGCGAAAGCAAGGGGAUCAAAC
This 250-nucleotide ribosomal RNA is filed under the name uncultured bacterium. RNAcentral's name for it is "partial 16S ribosomal RNA". It matches the Rfam family "Bacterial small subunit ribosomal RNA", at positions 524 to 773 of the family's 1533-position model. The record is from RNAcentral.